AAGGUUCUCUCAGUACGGUCGGAAAUCGUACGUAGAGUGUAAAGGCAAAAGAGAGCUUGAUUGCAAGACAUACAGGUCGAGCAAGGAUGAAAAUCGGACUUAGUGAUCCGGUGGUUCUGCGUGGAAGGGCCAUCGCUCAACGGAUAAAAGCUACCCUGGGGAUAACAGGCUUAUCUCCCCCAAGAGUCCACAUCGACGGGGAGGUUUGGCACCUCGAUGUCGGCUCAUCACAUCCUGGGGCUGUAGUAGGUCCCAAGGGUUGGGCUGUUCGCCCAUUAAAGUGGUACGCGAGCUGGGUUCAGAACGUCGUGAGACAGUUCGGUCCCUAUCCGUCGCAGGCGUAGGAAAUUUGAGAAGACCUGUCCUUAGUACGAGAGGACCGGGAUGGACGUACCUCUGGUGUACCAGUUGUUCUGCCAAGGGCAUGGCUGGGUAGCUAUGUACGGAAUGGAUAAGCGCUGAAAGCAUCUAAGCGCGAAGCCAACUUCAAGAUAAGAUUUCCCACCGCAAGGGUAAGACCCCAGAAAGACUAUCUGGUUGAUAGGUCGAAGGUGUAAGUGCAGCAAUGUAUUUAGCUUAUCGAUACUAAUAGGUCGAGGACUUGACCAAUAUU
This 613-nucleotide ribosomal RNA is filed under the name Clostridioides difficile. RNAcentral's name for it is "bacterial LSU rRNA". It matches the Rfam family "Bacterial large subunit ribosomal RNA", at positions 2313 to 2925 of the family's 2925-position model. The record is from RNAcentral. Lineage: Bacteria; Bacillati; Bacillota; Clostridia; Peptostreptococcales; Peptostreptococcaceae.